RNAcentral lists this ribosomal RNA (472 nucleotides) under uncultured bacterium. Its description in RNAcentral is "partial 16S ribosomal RNA". It matches the Rfam family "Bacterial small subunit ribosomal RNA", at positions 28 to 507 of the family's 1533-position model. The record is from RNAcentral.
GACGAACGCUGGCGGCGUGCUUAACACAUGCAAGUCGAACGCUGAAGCUUGGUGCUUGCACUGGGUGGAUGAGUGGCGAACGGGUGAGUAAUAAGUGAGUAACCUGCCCUUGACUCUGGGAUAAGCCUGGGAAACUGGAUCUAAUACUGGAUACGACAUGUCACCGCAUGGUGGUGUGUGGAAAGGGUUUUACUGGUUUUGGAUGGGCUCACGGCCUAUCAGCUUGUUGGUGGGGUAAUGGCUCACCAAGGCGACGACGGGUAGCCGGCCUGAGAGGGUGACCGGCCACACUGGGACUGAGACACGGCCCAGACUCCUACGGGAGGCAGCAGUGGGGAAUAUUGCACAAUGGGCGGAAGCCUGAUGCAGCGACGCCGCGUGAGGGAUGACGGCCUUCGGGUUGUAAACCUCUUUCAGCACGGAAGAAGCGAAAGUGACGGUACGUGCAGAAGAAGCGCCGGCUAACUACGUG